RNAcentral lists this ribosomal RNA (465 nucleotides) under Cryptosporidium bovis. RNAcentral describes it as "SSU rRNA". It matches the Rfam family "Eukaryotic small subunit ribosomal RNA", at positions 566 to 1067 of the family's 1831-position model. The record is from RNAcentral. Lineage: Eukaryota; Apicomplexa; Conoidasida; Eucoccidiorida; Cryptosporidiidae.
GCCAGCAGCCGCGGUAAUUCCAGCUCCAAUAGCGUAUAUUAAAGUUGUUGCAGUUAAAAAGCUCGUAGUUAAUUUUCUGUUAAUUUUUAUAUACAAUGCUACGGUAUUUAUAUAAUAUUAACAUAAUUCAUAUUACUUUUUAGUAUAUGAAACUUUACUUUGAGAAAAUUAGAGUGCUUAAAGCAGGCUAUUGCCUUGAAUACUCCAGCAUGGAAUAAUAUUAAGGAUUUUUAUUCUUCUUAUUGGUUCUAGAAUAAAAAUAAUGAUUAAUAGGGACAGUUGGGGGCAUUUGUAUUUAACAGUCAGAGGUGAAAUUCUUAGAUUUGUUAAAGACAAACUACUGCGAAAGCAUUUGCCAAGGAUGUUUUCAUUAAUCAAGAACGAAAGUUAGGGGAUCGAAGACGAUCAGAUACCGUCGUAGUCUUAACCAUAAACUAUGCCAACUAGAGAUUGGAGGUUGUUCCU